Molecule: long non-coding RNA, 993 nt
Organism: Suricata suricatta (meerkat)
Lineage: Eukaryota; Metazoa; Chordata; Mammalia; Carnivora; Herpestidae
Exons: 2
Source: RefSeq, a predicted model, not a curated record
CGCGGCGCCCCCGGACUGGGCCAACGCGAGCUGCAGCCCCCGGCCUGGCGCUCCGGAGGCCGCGCUGGGGGCCCGGGUCUUCUCGACAGUGACGGCCGUCUCAGUGCUGCUGCUGCUGCUGCUGCUGUCGCUGCUGCGCCUGCUACGCCGACGGUGCGCCCGCUGGGGCGGGGCCCGAGGGCGGACACUGCUGGGCGCCUGACGCCUCGGUGCCCGGGGGCCCUGGUGGGAAGCUGGGGCUUCCGAGGGGAACGGGGCUGGGAGGAAAUCCUGGGGUCGUGAGGGACAAAGGCUUGCGUCCACACAGGGAGUCGCGCGUGGGAUCGCAGCUGAAGCAGGAGCUGGAGGUAAGAUGGGUUGGGGGUUCAGCUGACGUCUGCUCCCUCUCUAGGAGCUGUCUGCUGGCUCCGGGAAAAGGGCCCGCGGCGUUGGGGCCUUCCCGGGGCCCCGGGAGAAGCUGGGCUGUGUGGUACCGUCGGCCUCGAGGGGUCGCCCUGCCCUGUCCCCCUGGGGACUCUCAGGCUGAGGGUCUAGCCGCGAGUUACCGGCCCCUGAGCUCCUCCAGCCAGAGCUCCCUGCGCUCGCUCAUCUCUGCUCUCUGACUCGGGAUCCCCAGGGUCCACUGGACCCUCUGCCAGCGGAAUGGACACCUCAGACUCCAUGCCGCACUCUACGUUGACCUUCCGCCCCUUUAAGGGCAGCUCGGUCUCUCAUCAUCUCCUGGAGGCCAGACAUUGAACAGGAAGCAUCUGGUGCUGAUACUGAGAACUUGGUCUGACCCUCGGGGGUCCAGAUGGUUGAGGCCAAAGGCCAAGAGGAAUCCAGCUCCCCUCCCUCAUCAACCUUAAUACGGGGGUCUCUGAUUUCAGGUUGCUUUUAGAACCUCUUGGGGGUGGUUCUGGACUGCUGCCCUAAGCGAAAUGCUAGAGGUCAAGGAAAGUAGUCAAAAGACCAGCCAUAGACUCUGAAUAAAGUACCUAUUUUGGUACAGGG